This 73-nucleotide transfer RNA is filed under the name Mesitornis unicolor (brown roatelo). It matches the Rfam family "tRNA". From Rfam's summary of the family: Transfer RNA (tRNA) molecules are approximately 80 nucleotides in length. Their secondary structure includes four short double-helical elements and three loops (D, anti-codon, and T loops). The record is from Rfam by way of RNAcentral. Lineage: Eukaryota; Metazoa; Chordata; Aves; Mesitornithiformes; Mesitornithidae.
UCCUUGUUAGUAUAGUGGUGAGCAUCCCUGCCUGUCACGCGGGUAGACUGGGGUUCGAUUCCCCGAUGGGGAG